CGACAACUUCCUUCAUUUUAUAUGAGACAUGUCAUAUUUUUUGGAUGAUUGCUGAUAUAGUGGACCGAAAUAUUCCUCUUCAUCUAAUACUAAUAAAUUUAUUGUGAUGUGAAAAUUUAAAGAACAUGGAAAAUGAUGACCGACAUUGACCAGCCAGACAGACAUUUUUAUACCCUCCACCAAAAAAAGUAUGCAGGGUAUAUUGAGUUCAUCAUUCCGUUUGUAACUCAUCGAAAUAAUCAUUUUAGACCCAACAAAGUAUAUAUAUUCUUAAUCAGCGUAAAAUUCUAAGACGAUUUAGCACUAUUCCUUUUAAUUAAUUUUAUUAUUUUAUAUUACAGUGAACUUGACGGAAUAUUUCUGGAGAAAAAGUCAAUAAAUCCCGAAUAUGUGUUGGACAACGAAGCUGAGGUUACGACGGAAGACCUUUUAACUGCUGAUUCAUUAAAUAUUUCUGAAACAGAAAAUCUGGACCCGCUUCCAUCAACCUCGAAAAAAAGGAAGACUAAUGGCCAAGAUUAUUUAAUGGAGUAUGCUAAGGAAAGGAAGGAGAGUGAAAAGCAGUUAAGAGAACUAAUAGAAAGAAUGUUAAAAAAACGCGAAGAAAGGGCCUUGCGAAAAGAGGAAUUGGAGACCAAAAAAAUUGAACUUCUGCAAUCUCUAAUAAAUUCCUUAAAGAAAUAAAUUUUAAUGAUCAUGUUUUUACAAUA
Molecule: long non-coding RNA, 710 nt
Organism: Musca vetustissima
Lineage: Eukaryota; Metazoa; Arthropoda; Insecta; Diptera; Muscidae
Exons: 2
Source: RefSeq, a predicted model, not a curated record